CCUACGGGUGGCAGCAGUCGAGAAUCAUUCACAAUGGGGGAAACCCUGAUGGUGCGACGCCGCGUGGGGGAAUGAAGGUCUUCGGAUUGUAAACCCCUGUCAUGUGGGAGCAAAUUAAAAAGAUAGUACCACAAGAGGAAGAGACGGCUAACUCUGUGCCAGCAGCCGCGGUAAUACAGCGGUCUUAAGCGUUGUUCGGAAUCACUGGGCGUAAAGCGUGCGUAGGCUGUUUCGUAAGUCGUGUGUGAAAGGCGCGGGCUCAACCCGCGGACGGCAGAUGAUACUGCGGGACUAGAGUUGUGGAGGGGGAAGCGGAAUGCGCGGUGUAGCAGUGAAAUGCGUAGAUAUCGCGAGGAACCCUCGUGGCGAAGGCGGGUUCCUGGA
This 384-nucleotide ribosomal RNA is filed under the name uncultured bacterium. Its description in RNAcentral is "partial 16S ribosomal RNA". It matches the Rfam family "Bacterial small subunit ribosomal RNA", at positions 338 to 733 of the family's 1533-position model. The record is from RNAcentral.